Molecule: long non-coding RNA, 745 nt
Filed under: Homo sapiens (human)
Lineage: Eukaryota; Metazoa; Chordata; Mammalia; Primates; Hominidae
Description: long non-coding RNA NONHSAT176689.1
Source: RNAcentral
UCCCGGCUUCCAUCUCCUCCCAGCUACCUGCAGUGCCACCAGGUUUAUCACCUUAGAGCAUCCACAGCCACAGUUACCCAGAGAGAAGAGAAGGAGGAGACACAGGGCUUGGGGACGAAGGCAUUCAAACAGGCAGGUCCUCCCACGGGAAUCCCAUGACGGCCGACUCCACGACCACUUCCCCAGCAUGACUAGAUUUCCUGCAGCUUCGAAAUGCAAACAUUGCCUCAGACAAAAGCUAAAAUUGUUACAGUCAGAACCGAAACCACGAGUGAGAAGGGGCUCUGCUCCCAGUACCCACAGCCACGGGGAGCCACCGACCAGCAUGUCUUACCAUUGUUCACCUGGCCGUGGACCGCAGUGGGGACUGAUGCCAGCCCCAGCUAUUUAGGAGACUGAGGAGGGCGGAUUGCUUGAGCCUGGAAGGUGGAGACUGCAGUGAGCCAAGAACACGUCACUGUACUCCAGCAUGAGUGACAGAGCAAGACCUUGUCUCAAGACAAACGAACAAAAAAAAAAAAAGAAGAAACUGCCCCUGUGAGGCUGGGUCUAUCCUCCAGAACGAGCCUUUGCCUGGUUCUUCCUGGGAACGCGGCACUUUGAUGAAAUAACGAUUCAGAGAGAGAUUGUGGCGAAUUGAAUUCUAUGAAACAUAAAAAAAUACGUAGAAUUCAUAUAUUUAUUUGCUGAGAAAUAAAAAUGUGUCCUCGUUUUAGUGCCCUAAAAAGCAGAAACCUACAUGUUG